AUGCUUACCUGGCAGGGAUGAUUCCAUGAUAACAAAACCAGUUUCUCCAGGCCAAGACUUAUCCAUUGAACUCUGGAUGGGCUGACCUCUGAGAUUUCCCCAAAAUGCAAAACUCAAUAGCAUAAUGUAUGGGAGUGGUAUUUGUGUUCCCCCUAUA
Small nuclear RNA from Sarcophilus harrisii (Tasmanian devil), 157 nucleotides. Its record names the gene U1. It matches the Rfam family "U1 spliceosomal RNA". Rfam says of the family: U1 is a small nuclear RNA (snRNA) component of the spliceosome (involved in pre-mRNA splicing). The record is from Ensembl. Lineage: Eukaryota; Metazoa; Chordata; Mammalia; Dasyuromorphia; Dasyuridae.